GACGAACGCUGGCGGCGUGCCUAAUACAUGCAAGUGGGACGCAAGGAAACACACUGUGCUUGCACACCGUGUUUUCUUGAGUCGCGAACGGGUGAGUAACGCGUAGGUAACCUGCCUAUUAGCGGGGGAUAACUAUUGGAAACGAUAGCUAAUACCGCAUAAUAUUAAUUAUUGCAUGAUAAUUGAUUGAAAGAUGCAAGCGCAUCACUAGUAGAUGGACCUGCGUUGUAUUAGCUAGUUGGUAAGGUAAGAGCUUACCAAGGCGACGAAACAUCACCGACCUGGGAGGGUGAUCGGCCACACUGGGACUGAGACACGGCCCAGACUCCUACGGGAGGCAGCAGGAGGGAAUCUUCGGCAAUGGACGAAAGUCUGACCGAGCAACGCCGCGUGAGUGAAGAAGGGUUUCGGGUCGUAAAGCUCUGUUGUAAGUCAAGAAAGUGUGGGAGAGUGGAAAGUUCACACAGUGACGGUAGCUUACCAGAAAGGGACGGCUAACUACGUG
Molecule: ribosomal RNA, 505 nt
Filed under: uncultured bacterium
Lineage: Bacteria
Description: partial 16S ribosomal RNA
Rfam family: Bacterial small subunit ribosomal RNA
Source: RNAcentral